Non-coding RNA from Pangasianodon gigas (Mekong giant catfish), 73 nucleotides. NCBI's taxonomy places the organism in Eukaryota, Metazoa, Chordata, Actinopteri, Siluriformes, Pangasiidae. The record is from the annotation of a GenBank genome assembly.
GCUGUGGUGGCUCAGUGGUUACGGCGUCUCAUUACAGAUAAGAAGGUCAUGUGUUCGAAUCCCAGCACCACCA